GUAGGGAAUAUUGGGCAAUGGAUGGAAGUCUGACCCAGCCAUGCCGCGUGCAGGAAGAAGGCGCUACGCGUUGUAAACUGCUUUUAACCGGGAAGAAACCCCAGGACGUGUCCUGGGUUGACGGUACCGGAGGAAUAAGCACCGGCUAACUUCGUGCCAGCAGCCGCGGUAAUACGAAGGGUGCAAGCGUUAUCCGGAUUCAUUGGGUUUAAAGGGUGCGUAGGCGGAGCGUUAAGUCAGUGGUGAAAUCCUGCAGCUUAACUGUAGACUUGCCAUUGAUACUGGCGCUCUUGAGUGCGCUUGAAGUGGGCGGAAUGUGCCGUGUAGCGGUGAAAUGCUUAGAUAUGGCACAGAACACCAAUUGCGAAGGCAGCUCACUAAGGCGAUACUGACGCUGAGGCACGAAAGCGUGGGGAUCGAACAGGAUUAGAAACCCCAGUAGUCC
RNAcentral lists this ribosomal RNA (445 nucleotides) under uncultured bacterium. RNAcentral's name for it is "partial 16S ribosomal RNA". It matches the Rfam family "Bacterial small subunit ribosomal RNA", at positions 354 to 796 of the family's 1533-position model. The record is from RNAcentral.